Molecule: long non-coding RNA, 6673 nt
Filed under: Homo sapiens (human)
Lineage: Eukaryota; Metazoa; Chordata; Mammalia; Primates; Hominidae
Description: HSALNT0243329
Source: RNAcentral
UCUGUUGCCCAGGCUGGAGUGCAGUGGCAUGAUCUUGGCUCACUGCAAGCUCUGCCUCCCAGGAUCACACCAUUCUCCUGCCUCAGCCUCCUGAGUAGCUGGGACUACAGGCGCCCACCACCACGCCCAGCUAAUUUUGUUUUUGUAUUUUUAGUAGAGACGGGGCUUCACCAUGUUAGCCAGGAUGGUCUCGAUCUCCUGACCUCAUGAUCCACCGACCUCGGCCUCCCAAAGUGCUGGGAUUACAGGCAUGAGCCACAGCGCCCGGCUGGUUUUUCAAUCAGAAUUGUGAUGAAAGACUAACAAUCCAUUCAAUUUAAAGAAAUUAUUUUCUACUGUUAGAGAAAGGUAUUUAGAGCCCUGUUUAAAAGGAGAUCAAUAUCUGUUUUGAUUGUGAUUUUUUUUUUUUUUUACCUGUCAAUAGCAUCACACUGGUAAAGCUGUUUAAGAGCUUCUAAAAUAAGUCUCUCAUUAGGUGGAUCCAAAUAGGGAAACCUGUGUGUUUAAAUAAGAUAUGAAGUGAGAGGCAUUCCUUGAACAUGGUAGGAUUUUAUAUAGAUAUGACGAAAAUUUCUUUAAAAGGUUUUAUUUCUAUUUUUCAAGUCAUCUUUUUCUAAAAAAAAAUUAUAUGAUCAUGAUCAGCAUUUGGCAAAAGAGGAAAUAAUUUUUUUCUGAAUCACACUCCUCUACUUCAAGAAGUGAUUCUUUUUGACUCCCCUUAGCUGAAAUACUCUCACCAGUCUACUUAUCCUAAUCCUGCCCCACCCAUCCUUCACAGCCUAUGUCAAGUCUACUCUUUUCUGCAGUCCAUAAUUUUUUUCCAAACUUUUAUAAAAAUAGUAGAGAAAUAUUAAUAGUAGAGAAGUAUUAAUAGUAGAGAAAUAUUAAUUAGUACUGAAAAUUAUAAAUUGUUCAAUAGUACCUCAAAAUGCUUUUUUUUGGAGAUGGAGUCUCACUCUGUUGCCCAGGCUGGAGUGCAAUGGCACGAUCUCUGAUCACUGCAACCUCCAUCUCCCAGGUUCAAGCAAUUCUCCUGCCUCAGCCUCCCGAGUAGCUGGGACUACAGGCACAUGCCACCACGCCUAGCUAAUUUUUUGUAUUUUAGUAGAGACAGGGUUUCACCAUGUUGCCCAGGCUGGUCUUGAACUCCUGUGCUUAAGCAAUCCGCCCACCUCGGCCUCCCAAAGUGCUAGGAUUACAGGCGUGAGCCACCGCACCCAGCCUCAAAAUGCUUCUUAAAUUCAAUUUAAUUUUUUUUUUUUUUUGAGACGGAGUCUCACUCUGCUGCCCAGGUUGGAGUGCAGUGUGGCAAUCUCGGCUCACUACAACCUCCGUCUCCUGGGUUCAAGUGAUUCUCCUGCCUCAGCCUGCUGAGUAGCUGGGAUUACAGGCACCUGCCACCAUGCCCAGAUAAUUUUUGUAUUUUUAGUAGAGGCGGGGUUUCACCAUAUUGGUCAGGCUUGUCUCAAACUCCUGACCUCAGGUGAUCCACCCACUUCAGCCUCCCAAAGUGCUGGGAUUACGGGCGUAAGCCACCGCACCCGGCCGGACAAAAUGCUUUCAUAUAAAUGGGGAAAUAUAUUCAAUUAAUUUAGCCAUAUUUGUGUCACAUAUGUGUACAUGUGUAUGUACUUAUUUUCUGCCAAACUAUCUCAGAAUAAGUUGCAAAUACAAUGCCAUUGCACACUUACAACUAUCUCGGCAUGCAUCUCCUGAAAAUAAGGACAUUCUCUUACAUCACCAUAAUGCGCUAUUAAUAAAUAUAAUAAAAUUAACAAUUAACAAUAAUAUUCAAAAGGGAUAGCAUCAUCAAACAUGAAUAUAUAUUUUUUAAAAACAGGAAAAAUAAUUACUUGAUAUCAUCUGCACUGGGUUAUUUUUUCCACCUUAAAUCUGGAUAUGAAAAAUCAUCUACUCCAACUUCUCACCUUGAAAAAAAUCCAAUAGAAGACAAAAGGUCCAAUACCUUAUAUAAAAUGUCCAUUCCAGGAUUGAUAACCCUAUUUAAAAAUAAAUAAAUAAAACAAGGCCAAGGAUGGUAGCUCACGCCUAUAAUUUCAGCACUCUGGGAGGCUGAGGCAGGAGGACUGCUUGAGCUCAGGAGUUUGACAACAGCCUAGGCAACACAGCAAGAUCCCAUCUCUUAUAAAAAGAAAAAAUAAUAAGCAAACAAUAAUCUCUUACACUGUUCUACUGCCAGCUUUCCUACAAUUUGUACCAAUAGGUCCUGGUAGCUUCUACAGCAAGAAUUGGUAAACAUUUUCCGUAAAGGGCCAGAUAGUAAAUAGCUUAGGCUUGCAGGCCAUAUGGUCUCUGUCACAAUUACUCAACCAUGCUAUUACAGUGAAAGCAGCCACACAUAAACAAAUGGGUAUGGCUGCAUUCUAACAUUUUAUUUACAAAAACAGUCAGUGAGAUUAGACCACAGUUUGCCACCCUUGUGCUAGAGCAAUACCAAACCAGUCAGCUGCUUCUUCUAUAUAAAAGGAAAAACUACUUAUUCUAAAAUAUUGCAAUUAAUUUCCCCCCUUGAUUCCUCCAAUUACCAAUUCUGUCAACCACUCCUUAUAAGUUACUUGGUUUCUAAGAGAUCUACCAUACCUAAGUACCAUUCUCUAAAAACACUAGUAUGUCAAACUCCUCAUAAAACUUGAUUAUAUCCAAAACUGAACUCCAAAUGUUGAGUGACCAACACAUAACAGGAAUGCUGUAAUUCCCCAUCACCUAGUUUAUUAAUGUAACCAAAGUCUAUGCCAGUGGAAUUAAAAAAAAAAUUUUUUUUUUUGAGACAGAGUCUUGCUCUGUCGCCCAGGCUGGAGUGCAGUGGUGCGAUCUGGGCUCACUGCAAGCUCCGCCUCCCGGGUUCACGCCAUUCUCCUGCCUCAGUCUCCCGAGUAGCUGGGACUACAGGCGUCUGCCACCACACCCAGCUAAUUUUUUGUAUUUUUAGUAGAGACGGGGUUUCACUGUGUUAGCCAGGAUGAUCUCCAUCUCCUGACCUCGCAAUCCGCCCACUGUGGCCUCCCAAAGUGCUGGGAUUACAGGCGUGAGCCACCGCACCCGGCCUAAAAAAAAAUUUUUUAAACAGAGCCAUACGUAUAAGCCAAUAUUAAGGUUGUGAUGAUCUGAUAAUUUCAGAUCUCUACCACAUGUAUUUGCUAUUGUACAUCCCAAACACAGGAUAUAAGAUAUAUCCUUUCAAAUUUACACCCUGUUGAUUUUUGCCCAUGGUUCUAAUCUGUUAAAGUCAUUUUAAAGCUUGGUCAUCUACCUAUUAGAUAUUAAGAUAUUUUCCAGAAAAAUAUAAUCAUAACUUCAAUAUUUUUAUUCAGUAUCAUUAAAAAUGUUUAUCAAGAAAAAACUAAGUUCAGCACAAUACCAGUAAAAACUUCAUCUAGUCUACACUAAGCAAUUAAUUAAUACUUUUCUAGACUGGGCUAUCUGGCAACUAUACUCAGCAGUACUGUCAUCUACAGACUACUUUUUUAUUCACAAGAUAUCAAAUGCAGUAUUGUUAAAUACUGUGCUGAAAAUAAAAGACAUUAGGUUAAAUUUCAAUAAAUUCUUGUGGAGCACCCAUUAUGUGGACGGUCCUGUCCUCAAACUGAAAAGGAAAUGGCUUAUAAUGACAUAUUUGGCCGGGCAUGGUGGCACACGCAUGUAAUCCCAGCUACUCAGAAGGCUGAGACACGAGAAUCGCUUGAACCUGGGAGGUGGAGGUUGCAGUGAGCUGAGAUUGUGCCACUGCACUCCAGCCCGGGUGACAGAGUGAGAUCCUGCCUCAGAAAACCAAAACCAAACACAACAACAACAAAAAAUGACAUAUUCAUUGUGAACUUUUAAAAUUCAUACUCAUUAAUCGUCAUUAAAUUUCCUUAAACCAUUUUUCAAUAAACUGUACUAGAGUUCGCUAGUAAUCAAUGUCAAGCUUACUGGGUAGUUGUUUCCAGAACCCGCCCUUUUUACCAAAUGAAAAAAAUUAAGACUUUUGCCUUUCUCACCAUUUUCUGAUAACGUAUUCUGCAUAAUUUCUCAUAGAUGACCUACAGUGACUCUGACGCUAAAUCUGCAAGUUCUUUUAACACCACGGAAAUAAUGUCUAAAUGCUCAAGACAAAAUCACUUAUGGUGUUGUCUACAUACCUUAUGACAUCGUGUAUGGCAAGGCACUUUAAGGUCAGAACUACAGAUGUCAAACUAGUUCUCUUAAUUUCAGGGAUCACAUGGUCAGGCAUACACUGGUUCCAAAAAUCUUUACUAUAGAUCCGAAAGCAUUUUCCUGAAGAAGUCCUGCCAGCUCGGCCACUUCGCUGUAAUGCCUCGCUCCUACAAAAGGAAAAAAACCCAAAAAUUCCCCAAAAUGUUCUGUGGGUUUCUCAGGUAAUUUACUUUGUCUCCCCAAAACAGCUAGAAAUUACCUAAUCAGUUGUUCUUUGAAUAAAAAGAUUUGACAUAGAGACUUACUUUGAAAUUGGAACCACCUCCAGGAUGUCCAACCCUAAUCUGGGGUUGUGAUUUAACUGCUUCACAAAGCCACCAUCUACCACAUAUCUAAGAAGAAUCAAAGCAAGUUAAGUUUCUGGAAAAUAAAAGAAGACUUGUUAAUUGUUAACCACUUUGGUUUCUCCUUUUCUAGCAAACUAGCAGGUACACAAUGCCUUUUAUGUUAAGUGUAAAACUUGAAAGUCAAGAAAUUGGAACCCUCGUAUGUUGUUGGUGGGAAUGUAAAAUGGUUCAGCCGAGGUGGAAAAUUGUUCGGAGGUCCUCAAGAAGUUAAACACAAAAUUACCAUAUGAUCCAGCAAUUCCAUUUCUAAGUGUACACCAAAAAGAACUGAGAACAAGUACUCAAACAAAUACUUAUAGACCAAUGUUCAUAUCAGCACUAUGAAUCACAGCCAUAAGGUAAAAACAACCUAAAUGUCCAUUAACCAUUAAUGGAAGAAGGGAUGAACAAAUUGCUUUGCAUAUAUGUAUGUAGUAUAUAUACACACGCAUAUAUACACACACAAUGGAAUAUAUAUAUAUAUACACACACACACUAUGCAAUAUUAUUCAGCCACAAAAAAGAAUGAAGUACUGAUACAUGCUACAAUGUGGACGAACCUCAAAAAUAUUAUGCUAAGUGAAAGAAAGCAAACACAGAAGGCCACAUAUUAUAUGAUUCUAUUUGUAUGAAAUAUCCAGAAUAGAAAAUACCUACUGCUUCCUGCUGACACAUCUAAAGAAUUUUUUAAAAAAGAAAAUACGUACAAACAAAAAGUAAGACUGGUAGUUGCCAAGGGCUGGGGUCGAGAGGGGAAUGUGGAGUACCUGCUUAAUGGGUAUGGGGUUUUAUUUUGAGGUGUUGAAAUAUUUUAGAACUAAGCAGAAGCAGUGGUUGCGCAAUACUGUAAAUGUACUAAGUACUACUUAAUUUUUCAUUUUAAAUGAUUAAUUUUAUGUGAAUUUUGCCUCAAUACAAAAAUACACAAACUUGAAAGUCAGCUUCAGACCAUUUAAACAGAUUCAGAAUCUAAUUUCAACUAGCCCUUAACAUGCCAUUCUAAGCCAAUUAAAUGGUGAACAAGUCAGGUAAGGAACCAAAGUAGGAUAGCAGUAACAAGACAACAUUCUGAAACAUGCUAUUUAAUGGCUUUUGCCUGUGCAGGAAACAGAAAAUUACAGAGGUUAAUUUACCCAGGAGAGCACUCCCUUAAUCCCUUAGUGAAACCAUUAUUUUUAAAGUAACGAAGAAAAGCAGAGGAAAUUAGACUUCCUCUCAGACCUGGGUGAUCAUUUUACCCAGAAGAAACACACAGGAUCUUUGAGAUUCAGGUUCAGCCUUCCGGAGACAGACAAUCAGACUUAGCUAAAGAAAUAAAAUAUAUUCGGUAAAUGAUAAAUAACCCAGUCUUAAAGAACUUUGCAUUAGUUGUCAGUCCAGACUUAAAAUUUCUUUGUGUUUCCUUACUAAAUUUACCCAAAAAUUUGAUAGCACUAUUUACUACAUCCAGAAAAGAUAAGGGACCUGAAUCAUAGUUAAUUUUCACAAAAAGGUAAAAAGUCAGAGACAAUACAUCCAGAUAAACAUUGGAUAUACAAACUCUACCGAGUGAGGCUGCAAGGUAGAAGGAAAUAUCAAAUCAUCUAAGGUAUAUGCUUAUAAUGGGAGUACAGAAAAAUAGGUUUGGCUUCCUAUUUAGUGAAACCCAUAAAGCAUUAUACAUAAUCUUAAAUUUGAAAAGAAGCUUCAAGUUGCCAAGUAGUUAAAAAGUGUGAACAGCCAAGUAUGGUGACACAUGCCUGUGGUCCCAGCUACCCAGGAGACUGAGGCGGGAGGAUUGGCUGAUCUCCAUACAAGGCUGUAGUGUGCUAUGACUGCACGCCUGUGAAUAGUCACUAUAUUCCAGCCUCAGCAACAUAAUGAGACCCUGUCUCUAAAAAAACAAAAAGUGUGAAUAGGAAUAUAGUAUGUACCUCCUACUCCAUUUCCUGCUCAAAGCAAUCAAUAAUUACAAAACAAAAUAGGUGAUUACAUGUUAAGAACAUCAAAAAGUAGGAGAGAAGGGAAUUAGUGGAGGGCACAGAAAAGCAAACUCAGUAAUGUUUAGCUAAUGUUUAGUAACGAUAGGCUUCCUUGACUUUAAGAGAAAGUUCAAAAGUUUUACCUGGUUCCAUCUAUUGUCAAAGACG